GACGAACGCUGGCGGCGUGCUUAACACAUGCAAGUCGAACGGAAAGGCCCUGCUUUUGUGGGGUGCUCGAGUGGCGAACGGGUGAGUAACACGUGAGUAACCUGCCCUUGACUUUGGGAUAACUUCAGGAAACUGGGGCUAAUACCGGAUAGGAGCUCCUGCUGCAUGGUGGGGGUUGGAAAGUUUCGGCGGCUGGGGAUGGACUCGCGGCUUAUCAGCUUGUUGGUGGGGUAGUGGCUUACCAAGGCUUUGACGGGUAGCCGGCCUGAGAGGUUGACCGGCCACAUUGGGACUGAGAUACGGCCCAGACUCCUACGGGAGGCAGCAGUGGGGAAUAUUGCACAAUGGGCGGAAGCCUGAUGCAGCAACGCCGCGUGCGGGAUGACGGCCUUCGGGUUGUAAACCGCUUUCGCCUGUGACGAAGCGUGAGUGACGGUAAUGGGUAAAGAAGCACCGGCUAACUACGUG
RNAcentral lists this ribosomal RNA (468 nucleotides) under uncultured bacterium. RNAcentral's name for it is "partial 16S ribosomal RNA". It matches the Rfam family "Bacterial small subunit ribosomal RNA", at positions 28 to 507 of the family's 1533-position model. The record is from RNAcentral.